UCCCCAGCAGUCAUUGUCAUAAUAAUCCGUUUCGCCGCAAUGUGUAACAAAGCCCUAAGACAACGCGAUCAUUGAAAUGAGAUCUUGAGGUUAUAUUCUCUCUGAUAUUUGGUUCGCCUGAUGCUAUUUUUGUUCUCGUCGAAGUGCGUAACUUUCCAUUCUUUCCAUACCAAGAACUAAUUACAACACGGUCACCAGAAUCCGCGCUAAAACGAUACAGUACCGAUACGUCAAUCGUUUUUCGGCACAGUACUUUGCGAACGGAAUAUAAAAUACGUCCCUGCAAAUUGGUCUCAGGUCCUGUCCUCGCAAAUCUCGGAUGGUUGUAGGGAAACGGGCACAGCUAUUAGUAUUACUCCAUACGCCGUACGCGUGUGUCUUGUAAAUCCGGGGUAGAACCAAAUCCAUAGAUCUCGAACUGCGAAAGAAAUCAGAACGGCGA
Molecule: small RNA, 442 nt
Filed under: Histoplasma capsulatum
Lineage: Eukaryota; Fungi; Ascomycota; Eurotiomycetes; Onygenales; Ajellomycetaceae
Also listed under: 1 other name
Description: hypothetical RNA
Source: RNAcentral